UUACGGGGUGCUGCAGUGGGGAAUAUUGCACAAUGGAGGAAACUCUGAUGCAGCAACGCCGCGUGGAGGAUGACACUUUUCGGAGCGUAAACUCCUUUUAUAUAGGAAGAAGAUGACGGUACUAUAUGAAUAAGCGCCGGCUAACUCCGUGCCAGCAGCCGCGGUAAUACGGAGGGCGCAAGCGUUACUCGGAAUCACUGGGCGUAAAGAGCGUGUAGGCGGAUUAAAAAGUCAGAAGUGAAAUCCUAUAGCUUAACUAUAGAACUGCUUCUGAAACUCUUAAUCUAGAAUAUGGGAGAGGUAGAUGGAAUUUCUGGUGUAGGGGUAAAAUCCGUAGAGAUCAGAAGGAAUACCGAUUGCGAAGGCGAUCUACUAGAACAUUAUUGACGCUGAGACGCGAAAGCGUGGGGAGCAAACAGGAUUAGUUACCCGUGUAGUC
This 439-nucleotide ribosomal RNA is filed under the name uncultured bacterium. RNAcentral's name for it is "partial 16S ribosomal RNA". It matches the Rfam family "Bacterial small subunit ribosomal RNA", at positions 339 to 795 of the family's 1533-position model. The record is from RNAcentral.